Arabis alpina (gray rockcress) is the source of this 106-nucleotide small nucleolar RNA. It matches the Rfam family "Plant small nucleolar RNA R71". From Rfam's summary of the family: R71 is a member of the C/D box family of snoRNAs containing the C (UGAUGA) and D (CUGA) box motifs. Multiple nearly identical copies of this snoRNA have been identified in Arabidopsis, and it is thought to function as a 2'-O-ribose methylation guide for 18S ribosomal RNA. The record is from Rfam. Lineage: Eukaryota; Viridiplantae; Streptophyta; Magnoliopsida; Brassicales; Brassicaceae.
AUUCCAUGGUGAGGACAUCUUCUAGUGUAACCCUUCAAACGUUCCCAAGCUUCACUUAGAGACUUUUGACCACCUUGCCUGAAAGAGUUUAUAUCACUCCUGUACU